AGAGUUUGAUCAUGGCUCAGAUUGAACGCUGGCGGCAUGCCUUACACAUGCAAGUCGAACGGCAGCACGGGAGCAAUCCUGGUGGCGAGUGGCGAACGGGUGAGUAAUACAUCGGAACGUGCCCAGUAAUGGGGGAUAGCCCGGCGAAAGCCGGAUUAAUACCGCAUACGACCUACGGGUGAAAGCGGGGGAUCGCAAGACCUCGCGUUAUUGGAGCGGCCGAUGUCAGAUUAGCUAGUUGGUGGGGUAAAAGCCUACCAAGGCGACGAUCUGUAGCUGGUCUGAGAGGACGACCAGCCACACUGGGACUGAGACACGGCCCAGACUCCUACGGGAGGCAGCAGUGGGGAAUUUUGGACAAUGGGCGCAAGCCUGAUCCAGCCAUGCCGCGUGUGGGAAGAAGGCCUUCGGGUUGUAAACCACUUUUGUCAGGGAAGAAACGGCCUAGGUUAAUACCUUGGGCUAAUGACGGUACCUGAAGAAUAAGCACCGGCUAACUACGUGCCAGCAGCCGCGGUAAUUC
This 523-nucleotide ribosomal RNA is filed under the name uncultured bacterium. RNAcentral describes it as "bacterial SSU rRNA". It matches the Rfam family "Bacterial small subunit ribosomal RNA", at positions 8 to 526 of the family's 1533-position model. The record is from RNAcentral.